AAUCCUUAUCAGUAGUUAAUCGGUUUGGGUCCGAACGGCACAAUGUCUGGGUCUGCCUAUUAGUGACCCCUGUAGAACAUCACAUUACAAAAAGUACAAACUUAUUGUCAGUUAUAUAAUAACUGUAUUUAUAAAAUAAACAAAAAAUGAAUCUAUAAAUAAAUAAAUAAACAAAAAUAAAUAAAUUAACCUAAUUGGAGACACCAUUUCCAGCCCCACUGGUGGAGGUCGUGUUGCCCAGCUAACAAUGCUAAUAAGCUAGCUAGCAGUGUGAGAUUUAAGCAUUCGUCUCCUGCUUCUAAACAUUUCGCACCUAAAAAAUAGUCCUUUAGUUUUUAUCAUUAUUAUUUUCAGUUUUAUCAUCAUAAUAUACAUUUUUCCUUCAGCAUAUGUUGUUAGUUACCAGUAUUAGCCCUGUUCCUUCUGGUCUUGUAAGUAAAUCUUUAUAAUGUGGUGGGUGAACUGUGUGAGUGACAGAUAUAGCACAUAUCAUUUUUAUUACAUAGGGAGCUAAAAAUAAACUUAAGCUUUAGGUAACUCACCAUCAGCAAUGUAGUAAUAUCUGUCAGCUAAGCUAACGAUGAUAGCUAAGAAUCUAACUUGCUAACAGGGGUCUAGUGACCUAUAAUCUCAUGGGACCUCCUUAUAAAGAAGAAUAGUAUCAUAUAGCCUAUAUUCUUAAUCAUAGUAAUUCAUAAUAACAAUUUAGAGGUUCAUACGUUUAUUAUUAAGUAGGUAAAAAAAAAACUUUAAAGCAAGAAUUUGUUAAGUAUUUUGUCCAGUGAAAAACAAGUAUCUCCAAAACAACACCUUCUUAGCUUUCGAUGGAAGUCAAUGUAGAAAGAGGGUUUCUUAGGUCAUCUUGGAGAAUUUCUAUUGGUCCAUUUAUCAACAAAUUCUGACAGAAUUGACAGAAAUGCAUUAUUGUUGCUUUUUAAAUGCUAUUUUUUUACUUGAAACUAACUCAACUUUAACAAUGUAGGUCAAUAUACAGUAUUUUAUUCAAUGUCAUUUUGUAGCAAUUAUAUCUGUCCAUUCAUUAUUAAAGUUAGUAAAAAGUGAAAAAUGGCAAUAUGAUUUUUUACAAUGUUUUUGUGUGACAGUCAAAUAUUAGUUUAUUCCCACAAAGCUUUGAUUUGAAUAGUUUGAUAGAGUUGGACAAGAUUCACAUAUUAGAUUAGUUUCUGCAUGUCUGCAUCCAAUUGGGAGUUAAUUUAUUUAAAACAUAAAUGUCAGAUUUGUAAACAGAGGGUAGAUUUUUUGUAAGGCUACAAACCCUGUGCUUAACUAUAAUAAAGUCUGCUGUUGCUCUGUUUUCAGGAAGUUUCCAGGUACCACUGCUUUGAGGAAAAUAACCCAUUUGUUUAUAGUAAGAGGAUGUUGAGUGAGGAACGAUAAACCCAGGAUUUAUAUUUAUUCCUGCUGUCUACGAUACAGUGUGUCACAACAUCCUCAAAAUAUGAAGCUUGCUCUUUUUUACUGAUGGUGCAAACCCAAAUGGGGAACUAAACAAUAGCAAAGCUUCACUGAGUGUGAAACUGGAACAUCGGACCCAAAUGAUACAAAAUAAAAGAUGAUUCUUCUAGAUCACAUUAAGUCAGGGGCAGAAGGAAGAUGUUUAAUGUGGGUACAGUAAAAA
Molecule: long non-coding RNA, 1639 nt
Organism: Astyanax mexicanus (Mexican tetra)
Lineage: Eukaryota; Metazoa; Chordata; Actinopteri; Characiformes; Acestrorhamphidae
Exons: 2
Source: RefSeq, a predicted model, not a curated record